This is a long non-coding RNA of Saccostrea cuccullata (small rock oyster), 394 nucleotides long. RefSeq lists it as uncharacterized. NCBI's taxonomy places the organism in Eukaryota, Metazoa, Mollusca, Bivalvia, Ostreida, Ostreidae. The record is from RefSeq and is a predicted model, not a curated record. The transcript has 3 exons.
AAGUGCCCUAAGGACUGGAAUAAAUAUGGAAACAAUUGUUACAAGCGUUUAUAUUCUUCACUUGGAUGGACCAAUUCGCAGAAAGCGUGUGGCAAAUUGGGUGCAACAUUGGCUCAGAUAAAUAGCGAGGAUGAAAACGUGUGGCUUUCAAAGACAUUUAGUGGAUUGGACGCUUGGAUCGAUGCUACAGAUUUCCCAAAUGAAGGGGAAUGGAGAUGGUACUCAACCGAAAAAUUGGUCAAAUACACUGCUUGGAACGAUAAAGAACCGAAUAACGCAGGGCGGAGAGAGCAUUGUGCACACGUCUUCCUGUUCAAAAGGAAAGCUUUGUGGAAUGACGAUAUUUGUACAGACAGGCGACAGGCUCUGUGCAUGAAAAAAGCAGCAUGACAGA